UUCAGUAUAUCAACAAAACAAACAAUAAGACAAGAAAAAUCGAGGCAGUAGAUGUUUACCUCACAUUCAUAACAGGAAAGGGAAAAAGCCCAAAUAAAGGUCCAAGGCUUUAAGAUGAAGCUCAACAACCUAAAUGGAGAAAAACAUCAUCAGCUUUAGAUUUCACAGCUCUUUUAGAAAAUCGAAGAAAAAGAAUUAACUUUCAGUUUUCAAUUCCAAAUUCCACUUGCUCCCGAUUUUGCUUUUUGUUGUUGUCAUUUUCUGUUCUUUCUCAUGUGACAUUUUCUACAUUUGUGUGCAUUUUUUGGCGUGAGUGUGUGUUCCAUGAGUGAAUUCCAGUUGAGAGGGAGUGAAAUUUGAUGGUUUUUUCAGAGGACUCAGCGAUGGAGUGCUUUCUUCGGUUAGGGGUCUCCUCAAAAUGGGGAAAGGUUCUGAUGGAUUUUUUUACGUGUAUUUGUGUGUGGGUCUCUCUCUAGGUAUUAAGGGGUAUGGGCCUAAUGUUUUGAGUUUGG
RNAcentral lists this long non-coding RNA (512 nucleotides) under Nicotiana benthamiana. RNAcentral's name for it is "long non-coding RNA (NBEN_LNC009521)". Lineage: Eukaryota; Viridiplantae; Streptophyta; Magnoliopsida; Solanales; Solanaceae. The record is from RNAcentral.